ACGAACGCUGGCGGCAGGCUUAACACAUGCAAGUCGAACGAGAAGCCAGUCUUCGGAUUGGUGGACAGUGGCGGACGGGUGAGUAACGCGUGGGUACUUGCCUCUUGGUACGGGACAACCCUGGGAAACUGGGGCUAAUACCGUAUAUACCGGUUUUGGUGGUUCUUGGUCGGGAAAGAUUUAUCGCCGAGAGAUAGACCCGCGUCCGAUUAGCUAGUUGGUGUGGUAACGGCGCACCAAGGCAUCGAUCGGUAGCUGGUUUGAGAGGAUGAUCAGCCACACUGGGACUGAGACACGGCCCAGACUCCUACGGGAGGCAGCAGUGGGGAAUAUUGGACAAUGGGCGCAAGCCUGAUCCAGCAAUACCGCGUGUGUGAAGAAGGCCCUAGGGUUGUAAAGCACUUUCAGCAGUGAAGAAAAUGCUUAAGGUUAAUAACCUUGAGUCUUGACGUUAACUGCACAAGAAGCACCGGCUAACUCCGUGCCAGCAGCCGCGGUAAUACGGGGGGUGCAAGCGUUAAUCGGAUUUACUGGGCGUAAAGCGCGCGUAGGUGGUUUGGCAAGUUGCAUGUGAAAGCCCCGGGCCCAACCUGGGAAUUGCAUCCAAAACUGCCAGACUAGAGUGUAGUAGAGGGAAGUGGAAUUCCGGGUGUAGCGGUGAAAUGCGUAGAUAUCCGGAGGAACACCAGUGGCGAAGGCGGCUUCCUGGACUAACACUGACGCUGAGGUGCGAAAGCGUGGCGAGCAAACAGGAUUAGAUACCCUGGUAGUCCACGCCGUAAACGAUGUCUACUAGCCGUUGGGGAGCUUGUCUCUUUAGUGGCGCAGCUAACGCAAUAAGUUGACCGCCUGGGGAGUACGGCCGCAAGGCUAAAACUCAAAUGAAUUGACGGGGGCCCGCACAAGCGGUGGAGCAUGUGGUUUAAUUCGAUACAACGCGAAGAACCUUACCUACCCUUGACAUACAGAGAACUUUCCAGAGAUGGAUUGGUGCCUUCGGGAACUCUGAUACAGGUGCUGCAUGGCUGUCGUCAGCUCGUGUCGUGAGAUGUUGGGUUAAGUCCCGUAACGAGCGCAACCCUUAUCCUUAGUUGCUACCAUUUAGUUGGGCACUCUAAGGAUACUGCGCCGGUGCUAAAGCGGAGGAAGGUGGGGACGACGUCAAGUCAUCAUGGCCCUUAUGGGUAGGGCUACACACGUGCUACAAUGGCCGGUACAGAGGGCUGCGAACUCGCGAGAGUAAGCCAAUCCCUUAAAGCCGGUCCUAGUCCGGAUUGCAGUCUGCAACUCGACUGCAUGAAGUUGGAAUCGCUAGUAAUCGCGUAUCAGCAAUGACGCGGUGAAUACGUUCCCGGGCCUUGUACACACCGC
This 1371-nucleotide ribosomal RNA is filed under the name uncultured prokaryote. Its description in RNAcentral is "partial 16S ribosomal RNA". It matches the Rfam family "Bacterial small subunit ribosomal RNA", at positions 29 to 1393 of the family's 1533-position model. The record is from RNAcentral.